AUUGACCAACUUUAAGUAUACGAUGAACUGCAGCAUGCCAGGCUUCCCUGCAGUUCAUCGUAUACUUAAAGUUGGUCAGUU
Bison bison bison is the source of this 81-nucleotide microRNA precursor. The record is from Ensembl. NCBI's taxonomy places the organism in Eukaryota, Metazoa, Chordata, Mammalia, Artiodactyla, Bovidae.